Molecule: long non-coding RNA, 15936 nt
Filed under: Brassica napus (rape)
Lineage: Eukaryota; Viridiplantae; Streptophyta; Magnoliopsida; Brassicales; Brassicaceae
Description: long non-coding RNA (BNAP_LNC003871)
Source: RNAcentral
CCUGGUGGUUGUCGGUACGGAUGUUGCGGUGGCUGUUUUUUUGGACGGUGCAACUACUGUUGUCGUAGUCCACAAGCCGAGGAGACCGUGGAAACUGAAGCUGUUGAGGCCAACGUUGUUGAACCUCAGCAGGGGGGUCGUGGUGGCUGUAGAUACGGAUGUUGCGGAUCCUGGCGUUACGGACGGUGCAGCUACUGUUGUCGCAAUCCACAAACCGAGACCGUGGAAACCGAAGCUGUUGAUGCCAACGUUGUUGAACCUCAGCAGGGGGGUCGUGGUGGCUGUAGAUACGGAUGUUGCGGAUCCUGGCGUUAUGGACGGUGCACCUACUGUUGUCGCAGUCCACAAGUCGCAGUCCACAAGCCGAGGAAACCGUGGAAACCGAAGCUGUUGAUGCCAACGUUGUCGAACCUCAGCAGGGGGGUCGUGGUGGCUGUAGAUACGGAUGUUGCGGAUCCUGGCGUUAUGGACGGUGCAGCUACUGUUGUCGCAAUCCACAAACCGAGACCGUGGAAACCGAAGCUGUUGAUGCCAACGUUGUUGAACCUCAGCAGGGGGGUCGUGGUGGCUGUAGAUACGGAUGUUGCGGAUCCUGGCGUUAUGGACGGUGCAGCUACUGUUGUCGCAAUCCACAAACCGAGACCGUGGAAACCGAAGCUGUUGAUGCCAACGUUGUUGAACCUCAGCAGGGGGGUCGUGGUGGCUGUAGAUACGGAUGUUGCGGAUCCUGGCGUUAUGGACGGUGCAGCUACUGUUGCCGAGGUGCUCAAGCGGAGUCUGAAGGGCAGAAAAAGGAAGAAGCUAAGCCAUGAAUGGUGUGUAAAACAAACUCUAUGUUUGUAUGCAUGGAUGCAUGGUUUAUAUUACUGUUUCGUACGUAUGUCAAAAUAAGGAAAAAGUUUUGCUAUAAAGUCUAUAGAUCAAUAAAAAAAUGUCGUAGGUUCAUAUAAUAUGUGUUUUGUUAUGUAGUGUUUUCGUCGUGAAGAUUGUAAUAAUAACUACUGUUUAAAUACUAAAUCUUGGAUUGCAAUAUUUAAAUUAUUAUAAUGAAAAAGCAUGUGCCUAGGUCAAUGAAAACCACAUAGGUUUUAUGGUAUCACGUAGAUUUGUGAUCCUAAACAUGCAUUAUGAAAGUCGACUUGACAUAUAAAAUAAAACUAAAGCGUUGGUUAGAAUAUCUUUAUUUAUUCUGUUUCAUUUUAAAUGAUGUUUAAAGUUAAUGCAUAUUUAUUAAAAAUUCAGCUUUGAUAAAUUUAUUUUAAUUUUAUAAAAGUAACAUCAAAUAAAAUUAGUAAACUAAUAAAAAUCUACAAUACUAUAUAAUUGGUCAUAAAUGUUAAAAACAUUAAAUUUUUAUUUUAAACAAUGAGAACAUUACUUAUUUUGCAAAAAAAAUAAAAAAUUCUUAAACAUCAAAUAAAUUGAAAUGUAGAAAGUGUCAUUAUAUGUUGUACGAAUAACAAUCGAAGAUUUGUUUAGAUUUUAUACACUCCAGUGUAGGGAGUAUUCACCGAUCCAACCCAUAGAGUUCCAUCACGCUCCUCCACCUCACUUAUAGAGAUCCACUUAUUUCCAAUUGUACCCUCGAAAACCUCCGAUAUUACGCCACUACCUUCGCUCAACCUCACGGCCAUCCCGUUCCCUUUAUACUUAGCCCAAUACGAAUGAACUUUCAUCCAGUCCACCGGCAAGCCCAAAGCGGCGCGUCCUAGCCAGGCAUUCGACAUGGCGAACUUUGUCAGCUUUGAGUGUUUUGUAUUCAGGCCUACCCAAAAUCCACCACGUGGACUCCUCUUUAUGUUGUCGGGGAACCCAGGCAGCCCCUCCGCGAAAAUCUCAUACUUCUCGUGAGAUUUAGAAACCGACGUGUCGUUGAGCCAGUAGCGUAGGAUUUGAGAUGUGGCAGUCUCUGCCACGAGAAGGUAAUCACCGUUUUGGCUCAUAACGACGCCGUUUGCGAACGAAAGGUUGCUUACAAGAGUUGUCACUUGGUUCGUUUUUGGAUCGUAUUUCAUCAAUCUACCGGUUCUGUCCCCACUCAUUAUUGCACCUAUAUAAUUCCUGAAAAAUUUAAACAAUUUACGCUCGUAUAUGUUCAAAUCAUUAUGAAGUAAAAAAUUUUCAUAAUGCAUGUGUACAUUCAUAUAAAAAUGUAUACGAUAUUACUUCAGCCAACAAAAAAUGUAUAAGAUAUUAGUAUAUUACUGAUAUUACGGUGUAUGCAUAAUGCAUGUAUUUUUAUUCUAAGUAACAUUUUUUUUUGCAGAGCUUGUUUUUAUGUAAGAUGAAUCAUGAAUGAUUGAAUAUUUGCAGAAUUUUAAGUUAUAAAAAACAAAAAAAAAGCAGGAAAAAAAUAUUUGCAGAAUUUUACCUUCGUUGAUAAACCGAACUACUAUCAGUGAAGUAGACAACUCCAGUCCGUGGGUCUAUUUCCACAGCGUUGGUAAACCUAAGGGGCUUAUCUAGCUGACGUGUAGAUACUUGAUUGGCUAAACCACCUUCUCGACCAACUUUAAGAAGUCCCAUAUAAGCAUCGGCAAUAUAAAGAUCACCAGUGGAUUUUUCAAAGGCCAGGCCCAAUGGUCGACCACACUCAUGUUCCGUUCGUUGGUGCUCGUGCGGGCCCUCGCAACCUUCUCUGCAUUUAAUUAAAACGUUAAAUACAAUAGUCAUCCAAGUGUUGAACCCUAAGUGUGAACAAUGAACAGAUCCCAUCAUAAGUAACUAUUUUCAUAACUAUAACUAUUAUUUUAUAUCAAGGCUACCAUCAACGCUGGAUUUAAUGAGUUGUUUAAUUUUGUUUACAUGAUUGUUAUUCUAUACUGUAAUCUUUCUGAAAACGUGUAUAGAAAAUAUAACAGUUUUAGCACAAAUCUGGACCACCAAAAAGUCAAUAUCAAUUUUCCCAUCUUGGUUGUGUACUCAUGACUCCCAGUAAAUACAAAGAAUGUAAGUUCAAAAAAAAAGAAGAACGCAGCAUUUUCAUUUUUUUCACUCAAUUCUUUAACUCUUGCAACAUUCGUGUGAGGAGCAGCAACAGAUAAAAUAAUCAAAGGAAACUAAAGAAGCAACUAAGUUGCAUAGUCAAAUGUGCAUAUAUAUAAUUAAAGCACAUGGAAAUUGAAUUUAAUUUAAGAUCCCUUCAAAAUGGGAACUUCACAUGCACGCCCAAAUAACAAAUUGUGAUUCAGAAAGUUAAACUUGCAACUCAAAACAGCCAAGUUGACCACGUGAAAACUGAAGUACAUAUGCAGAAACAAAAGAAGUACCUUUCAUUUGGUCAGGAACUCAUAACUAAUUGUAUCAUAAAUAGUUUAGUUAUAUUCAAAAGAUUGAAGUCAAACACUGUUGGCAUUUCAAAGGAUAAUUUUAUUAUUCUGAUAAUUUAGAUCGUUUAUCUCGGUAGGGCAGAGGGAGUUAGUUGGAUACAGUUGAAGGAUUUUGCUUUAUUUUUCGGUUCAAUUUUUUUUUGGCUCAACUUCAACUUAUAUCAACCAAAUUUGAAUUGACAAUCUUAUCCAAUUUCUACAUUUUGAUCACAAAUACACAGUUAAGAUUGAUAUAGUAUCACCCAAAAACAUUCAAAAGGCUACCUACGCUACUCUAUCAAAACCUAUAGUGUGCACGAAAAAGACUCCUACAAAACAAAUUCAAAUACCCGGGGUUUAUUAUGAAGAUACAUUCCCAAUAAAAGUGGAAAAUGAAAAGGAGAAAUAAUUGUGUACCUUGUUGGCGUGGUGACGGCGAAAUCCAUCCAACGACUCUCAUUAGCUAUCCACUUAACAAUUCGACCAUCAGAUAAACCGGUGAAUGGACCGUCGCCGUAGAAAUCGAAGGCGAAACUCUCCGGUCCCAAAGCGCCGGUGGUAGGAAUCAGAUGGAAGUCAGGGAAAUGAACUGUCAACAUUGACUCUCCAUGUUUUGGACUCUCGCCAGAAGAAUCGAAGAGGCUUAAGAGAAGGGCAAAUGAUAUCGCCAACACAAAGAAGAGUUUCAUCAUUCUCCCUUUUCUUCCCACCCUAAACUGUGGCUUGUGGUAUGAGUGAUAAUUCUCUUAUAUAUAAACUAAUGUCAAAAUAAUAAAUAGUUUUCUUAUACAUGUCGACUUCGUGUCAAAAACUCAACACUAAAUAGUUAUAUUAUUGUAUUCUUGGGGUUCGUGGAUCAUGCAUUUGUCAUCAUGCAUUUGUUAGUUCAUAUGUUAAUUUUUUUUCGAGUCAUUCUUGGGUUCAUCCCCCUAGGGAUUACAUUAUGUUUUAUGUUUGGGUGAUUACAUUAUGUUUUAUUUUAAAAACAUAAUAUAACUUGAUAAUAUUUUAUUUCAUUUUAUAAAAAAUAUCAAAUUUGAAAUAACAUAAUCCUAUUGGUUGGUGAACCUAGAGGUUCACUUUAGGGGGUGAACCCAAGAAUAAGUCUUUCUUUUCUGUUCAACAUUUCUUUCUUAUUGCUUUAUUAUGAAAGAUACAUUUCUUUCUUACUUACCAGACAUAUUCAUACAUGAUACUACUCACCUAGCUAACAUUGUCAAGAUAGAAGUUUUGCCGUUUAUGGGAUGAGAAUACAAAGAAAUCAAACAUUAAUAUAUUCUGCUAGUCUGCCUCAAUUCGUGUAUCAAUUAUGCAUAUAUGCCAAUAUAAAAUUUCAAUGAUUCUAUAUAAUAAGAUUAUUCAUUUCUAAAUUUUCUAUAAAUAAACAUUAAAAACAAAAAAAGAAGUAAAACUCAUAUUAUAUUUCUCUUAUUAAAACAAAAACAUUCACUUGGACCCAACUUUUUUAUAAGAUUUUAAAUUAAAUAUAUCCUUAUACUAUAUAGUUAUACCCCACAUGUAUCUAUUAAAUUAUUCAUUCCUUAUAAUUUGAGCGUUUAGGAAAUAAAAUAACCAACACUUUUAAUUAUAUAUUUUUAUUUCUUUACAAACCAACAUUUUUUAGAUAUAUCUAUUAAUUAUGUUUUUUUUUAAUCAGAACCUGCCCAACCGAAUGCAUAUAUAUAAUAUAAUUAUUUUAAUAACUAAUCUAAGUACAUGUUUUCUGUAAUUUAUUUUUUUAAUAAAAUUGAAAGCAUGACCCGCUCGGAUACGCCAAUUCAGAUCUUGUUAUACGGAGUAUUACUGAUUAUUUCUAAUGUUUGUGAUUUCUUAUGCAUAGUAUACAUGUAGAUGGUAUGAUUGCUUACAAAACGCCGGAGAUCGAGGGAUCACAUUUAGAUCAUUUUAUUAAAAGUAGAUAUAUUUUGCGUAUUCUCUGUAAUUUUCCCCAAAAAAAAUCUGCAGAUUUGAUAUUUAUCUGGUUACCAUCAGUUUUACAGGUUUGGGUAAAGUAAUGUUAUUCGGCGCCAAAACAAAUUAUAUAUAUGGAAAAUUAACAUUUUCCUUGCACAGAAAAUUAAACGUUGAAUGAGGAAGAAUGGAAGACGUAAAAUUUAAAACAUUUAAAACCCAAAAAAAUAUAAAACUACAAUGAGAUCAAUAUCUUACUACUUACAUUUUAUUUUGUAACAAAUAAUAAAUGUUUUUUUGUUCACUAAAUAAUAAAUGCUUUUGUUUGAUUUUUAUGCAUAAACAAAACAUAAAUUUUUAUUAUUAUUAUUAUUAUUAUUACUAGGUAAAGAACCCGUGCGAUAUUGCACGGUAACUCAUUUCAUAAAAAUAAAAAUAAUAUAUUUUAUAAAAUAAAUUUUUAUGAAAAUAGUUUAGAAUUAAUACAGAGAAAAUACACAUGUUACAAAAUUAUUUUGUACAUAACUAUAUUCUUUUAUUGAUAGUGAUUAUUGAUGUCACUAAUAUGAAACAACCCAAAAGAGUAAGAGAAAAAAAAUACAUUCAUUGAAUGGGUUUGUAAAGAAAAAUAUCAACUCAAAUAAAAUGUCAACGAUUGAUAAGAAUAUUAUAUUACUAAAAUUUACCGGCUUUUGUGACUUUAUCAAACAUUCUUAUAUAACCCAAGUGUAAGAAUAUUUAGGACAUGAAUAUAUUAAGACAUGCAUAAUCUGUUUCAUGCAACAUACAUUAUUACAAAUGCAAAAUUAGUAAGAAAGAAAAACACACAUUUUCAUUUAGUUGAAGAGUAAGACUAAUAAAUUCUGUAUUUUGUUUUGUCAAACCAUUUCAUUAUCUUAAACUUCAAACAUACAAUAGAUAGAGGGAAUUAUCCAUCCUCUUUGAUGACAACAAUAAAAUUUAAAAACAUAAGAAAUUAAAAUAGAUAGAUUCUCCGGAAAGAUUGACAUCGAAAAUGGGAUACUGCUCAAAUGCGCAUCGUAAAACCGGAUUCAUAGCAACGUUUCGUCUGAUUAUCUUCAACAUAUUUGUAACCAGGUUAAUGCACAUAACUUUUCUUCUUCGCCAUUUUAAUAAAUUUAUGAAAGAUUUACAAUAAGAAAUUUAUGAACAUGAAUUAUUUAUAAUAUAUCUUGAAAAGAUACAUCAUUAGGAAAAAAAACACCAGCUAUGUACUUGAAAGUAUUCAUAAAACCAAAAUUUUGUAUUCCUUGACAUCAUCUUUUUUAUAGGAAAAAAAAGUUUCAAUACAACUGACAAAAUUUUCUGUUUUUAUAAUCCAAAGCAUAUAAAAUUGUCUUGCCUUAAAUGAAUCACGUCAGCAAGGAAAUUGUUUUUGCCAACUCUUCUCUAAAUAGUUUCUUUUGAAACAGUACAUCCUCUUUAAAAUAACAAAAGUACAUUUUCUAAUCUUUUUUUUUUCUUGUCAACUUUUUCAUAAUCUUACAAUUUUUUUUUAAAAAAGGCACGCAGCCCCACUCAGCAACCUAUUCGUUGUGUUGCCUUCUGAGUUCUGACCAUUUUAAAAAAUUUGUCUGUCAUCAAACCCAUCCAAAACAAACAAUGCCAUAAACAUCAGACUCAAUUAAAGGAAAUAAUCAUAAAAAAGAAUGUGACAACCACAUUAGUAGAAGAGAACAAGAAUGUGACUAUUAGCCAACAAGGGAGUGACCACAUAUUGUUUACAAGUAUCGGCGUUUUUAUCUUGUCUAUUAUGGUCAGUGGACUGCACAGGCUGGUCAUAAGCCUCGCACCUUUUCAGAUUGGUUUAUGAACUUCAGAUUUUAUUUUGAACUUCGAAAAUUAUAUAUCAUGGGAUUAUAAGUAUACAAACAUAUACAGAAAAGGUAUACAAACACAUAAAAGAAGCUUUGGCCUACCAGAAUAUAUUCUGAUAUAGAAGUAAUAGCCAACAUAAAUAAGAAUUUGAAACUGAAAAUUUCGUUUCUUACAGUGAAUGUGUCAACAGUGCCAUGCGAAAGCGCAUAGUAUCAUCCUUUGCUAGUUCAAUUGCUAUUCGGUUAUCUAAAUUAUGCGUUUUAAAUUGGCACUUUUUUGUUCCAUCAUGAGAUAUUCCUCUCUUUGAGCUUGUAGAUAGGAUUUAACAAUUUACUUAUUAGUUGAAUAUAUUAACAUUAAAACCCGAAAAUACUCGAAAAUAUAAUCAAAUUGAAUAAGCCUUUCUUCAAAAAAAAAAAAAAAUCAAAUUGAAAGAAAAAAAUGGAAGUGAACCAUAGGGAAAUCAAAAUCUCCUUUAACAAAAGAGGAAGCCAACAUUUCAGUAAAUUAUAAAACCAAAAGUCUUGAAAGGCUUUAUAAGUUUAAGAGCAAACCUAACCGGAUACCGCAAAUACUUUUUAUAAACUAAUUAUCAAAUCUACACACAUGGGAAAAUGACAGUGUAGGAGCACAAUAGAUUCUAUAAUGACGGUACAGAUUUAAAACAGUUCAAGGAAGCCGUAACUUUAGAUCACUGACGAUCGAGAACCCAAACAGAAGGCAGAAACACAGACCCAAACCAAAGCUUACCAUCUCUCUCUUGAACCUCACUUACGAAUUUCAUAUUCUUCCCUUCACUAUCCUCAAGAACCUCCAUAACCUCACCGGUCUUGCCGCAGAGCUUCACGGCACCUGCAUGAGGCUUUCCUCCUUCAAAUAGAAAAACCAACAGGUCCAUAUUCAACGUUUUCAUGAAAAACUUCCCAAUCCACGGAUGCAUCAACGAAAGCCUAGAAAACGGAGUUUUCUUAGAAUGCAAGGCAACCCAAAAAUCCCCUGUCUCGGUCCUCCUGAUGUUAUCAGCGUAGCCCGGGAGCUUAGCGAAUAUGUCGCGGGUCCCUGCUUUAGGUCCUUUGACCCAAUAUCGAUGAACAAGUUGCGUUGGAACCUCACAGGAAAGCACGAACGAACCAUCUUUGCUUAUGGCAAGACCAUUAGGGAAAUGUAGACCGUCCAUUAUAACUUUGGCCUCUUUUGUCUUCUUGUCAUAUCGAAUCGCUCUUCCCGUCUUUUCGCCACACAGAAACGCGUAGAAUACGUCCCUGAUCCAUACACGAACGUAAUAAUUUUAGCAUAUGCCGACAGAAAGUAAAUUUAUACGUGUUAGUAAUAACUUGGUAAAAAAGAAAAGUGGAUUUUUCUUUGGGUUUACAUGUUAUAAUGAAACAAAAAAUUAGUACUUAUAUAUAUAAUUUCUUGUUUUGAAAAGCUCAUGAUAUCAUUGCAUCACCAUUAUAUUCCAAUAUAUACAUAAUGCUUAUUAUUUAGCAAAAAAAAAAACUAUUAACAUUUUUUGGAAACAAAAAACUCUAAAUGCAAAUGAAAAGAUAAACUUAUUUUACGUUGGGUGUUUUCGGUUUUCCUAUAUGCAAAAAAAAAAAACAUAAGAAUUCAUAAAAACAUAAGUGUUUUCAUCUUUAGUUUUAUCUUCACUUAUAAAUGCAAAAUAAUAUUUACCCUUUAAGACAAUUUCAAAUUUGCAAUAUAAAAUUCUAAAAGUCGUGGGUUUAUCAGGAAGCAUAUUAUUGUAAACAUUUUAAGGAAAACGUUAACAAACAACCCAAAUUUGAUUCCCGAAUUAAAUAGAUAAUUAAAGGAAGUAAUAUAGAGGUGAAGUUAUAAUACCCAAAGUGGUAGGUGUCGCUGCUAUCAUUGAAGUAAAUAGCAUCGUCUUCUUCGUCUAUAUCCAUUUGAUUCGCAAACAUAAUUUUCUGACCUUCUACCUCGUCCACGACCUUCUCGGCCAAUCCUCCGUUAGGCCCAACUUUCAUUACCCCUAAGUAACCGUCACAAAAGUACAAAUCUCCCGAUUUUUUUUCAAAGCUCAGUCCUAAAGGCCUUCCACACGCAGGUUCCACCUUAUGUCUCGAACAGUUUCCUCUUCAUUUAUACACCAAAUACAAACAUUGAAAAUUUAUCAUGUAUGUGACUCCUAUAAUCAUUAAUCUAUAAACAGAUUUAUUCUAGCCUUUGAAUUAAUUUAAAAUUGCGGUUAUAUCCAUUUAUACAUGAUAAAUAGUUGUGCUAUCUCAUAUAGAAAAAAAUAACAGUAUUUGAGUGUUUUUAGCGAAUAUUAGCAAUUGCAAAAUCAAACAAAUGUAAGAUGCCAAACAAAAAUAUCCAUAUACAUUUACGAUGUGUAAAUGUUUUUAUUAAUCCUUGUGGAAUAGUGAACAACGUCAUCACUAAAAACAUAUGUGCAUGGAAACACUCAGUCUUUUGGACAUAUACAAGUUAAACAAACCUGUCGGGAGUUGAGUAGGCGAAUUUGACCCAGCUAAGAUCCGCACCGCGCCAUUUGAGUAUGCUACCAUCGGUGACGCCGACGUAUGGGCCUUCCCCUUGUGGGUCCCAGUCCAGGCUUUCCGGUCCAUCAACGGGAAGCGGGAUCAUCGUCGCCUUGGUUAGGACGUUUUUCGAGCCCACUAUACUCUCCGGUCCGAUGAUGGAUGGCCCGACGAAGACGACUAGGACGGCUAUAACUGCCGUAACAACUGCCCAUGUCCGAAAUUUCCGGCUUAUUGGCAUUGUUGUGUAGCUGCUAGCUUUACCUUCUCUUCCGAAAAAUGUGUGUUUUAAGUGUGAGUUUGAAAUGGCUAAUUACUCAAUUAAAUGCAUGAUUACUUUACUAGUUGGAUAUUUCAUGUUUGAGAAUACGUGAGAGAGAAGGAAUAAAUAGAGAAAAGCAUAAGCGAUUAAGAGAAGCGACCCAUAUUACUACUUUAUCUUUUUUACUUCUGUAUUUUCCGAAUAUUACUUUUCUAUUUUGUUGUUUUUUACAUGUACGAAAUGGACUUAGAUUUCAAUAAAGAUUUCUGACAAAAAAAAAGUAAGAGGGAUUGAAAUAAAGAUUUAGUACAACUGUUAAAUUAUCAAGUUGAAAGUUAUAUUUGCGAUUUUCCUAAAAAUAUUUGGUUUGUAUAAUUUUAAUCAUAUUUAUUGAUAAACCAACCGUUCUGCCAUGCAGCAUCUUGUGAGAAUCUCACUUUGUGAAAAGGAAGAACGAAAUUCCAGAAUAUUUUUGACGUCUCUCUGUCUUUUUUUUUCUUUUGAAAAAUAUUCUGGCUGUGGUGGAAAGAAAAGGAGUACUAGUCUGCUUCACGUUUUCUUCUUUUAUACUUGAACAACAUAUUGUUUUUCAUAACGCAUUUGCGAAGAUUCUCCUUAUUAAUUUACAAUCAAAGUUUAUGGGUUUAUAGUCAUAUGUUAAAAUCCCCGGAAAGCAAUUAGCUUGAAUUUUCUUAUAGAGAGGACAUAAACAAUACUAAAUCGUCACGAAAUAGCUAUUCCAGGUUUCAGAAUAAUCAGAAUUGAGAGUUGGUCUUGUAGCCUGAGAGAGUCGCCUCUUAGAUCAUAACUAGUUGAUGGUGAUGCUUGGCUGGGCAUCAUCCUUGACUUGAGCCCAACUUAUUAUCGAGCCUUUUCUGAUGCUUAAGAGUUACGUAAGACCUUUUUGUCAUUCUUCAGUGCCAAGUCUAGAAUAAUUUCAAAACUAAUAAUUUAAGAAACAACCCCAUGACUUUUUGUUAUUCUUCAUUCCCAUCAAGUUUUUGCUAUUUAACCAGUUAUAUUAUACUAAGGGAAAAUAGAAGAUGAGGCUCGGUUCACUUUUAUAUCGAGUCCAAUUUAGCCCAAUAACAUGUCAAGACGGGCCCGAUGAUUGUCGUAUUAUAUAUCAAACAUCAUUCCCUUAAUACUCUCACUCAAGGUACCUAAUAUUAAUACUUAGAUAGAGAGUCCAUUGUGACCCUUAGAGACGUAUCAAUUAUACAUAUGUAAUGAUAUCAUCGAAAUAGAACGAUUGAUAUCAUAACAAAGUAACCAUUGUUAAAAAACCUCGUGAAUAUUCACCAUAAUAUACAUUUACUAAUCAAACAUUUUUUAAGAAAAUGUAUCGACAUAAAUUCGUUUUCUUAAAUACGUGUGUCAAGAAAGGUUGAUAGUUUGGCAAGAUAGGAUCUCUAUUGCUAUACCCUACUCCACUAGAUUGGUAUUCUCUCUGUAUUAAAAUAAGUAGAUUUUAAGGUUUUUGCACACCUAUUAAAAAAUUAUAAAUUUUUAUUUAAUUUUUUUCGUUUAUCUAAAAACAAUAAUAAAUACAUAUAAUUCAACCAAUAAAAAAUCAUACUGCAAAAUACAAAUAGUCAAAAAUAUAAAAUUGUAUUUACUUUUUACAUGAAAACUUGAAAACAACAAUUAAAAUUAAACAAAAAAAUUCUCUUAAAACAUCAUUUAAAGUGAUACGGAGGGAGUACUAAACCUUGAUAUUAUAACCAAACAUCACUCUACAACAAAAUAAAGAUAUUAAUUGUGGUGUUAGAAAGAAAGUUAACGUGAGCUUUAUAAUCAAAAGGAAAAAAAGGAGUUUACACGAACAUAAUGAUACGUAACAUAAAAUAUAAAGAUUUGGUGGGUAAACAUUGGCCUUGUGUUCUAUCGGAGGGGCACUAGCCAAUUGUGUCUUAACAUCGCUUGUAAGGGUAUUUUAAGAUUUAGUUUACUAUUUUGUAUUUUACGGACCUCAAGGACUAAUGGUGAAACCAUAUAGGGGUAAGAAACAUAAGGACUAUCUACAUUUCAACUUAAUUAAAUUCCACAUGAAAUUAACUUUACGAUUCCAUAUCUACUUACACUCAAAAGUGUUAGCAUGUAACUCAGAAAAUAAGAUGGAUCACAAGCAAACGAAGUUAUUGGAAUAUGCAAAAGUUAUAUAACUAGAGUUGUUUCUUUUUUUUUUUGUCGACAAGUCGAGCUGUUAAUAUUCUCAAAGUAGAUCUCAACGUCCGGUCGUAUCUCUUAAAAUAAUGGUCGAGGUUUGGUUCACCGUAUUAGGACCAUAUAUAAGCUCAUUCUUUUUAUAAAAUAGUUAUUAAUAAUGAUAUCACCGUGAACUAACGUGGUUCAACACUAAUUUAUACACACCGAAACAAAUAACUACAUAAACUAAUAAUAAUGUAGGCUUAUAAUUGGUAGAUACAAUGUUAACAUAUUCCAUCAAUUAUAAGACCCGUUGGGUACAACCACAGUCCACACGUAAUAUUCAUUUUCUUAUUAAUUAGGUUGCUUUUUCUAGAACCAUAAUUAGGUGACUGUAAGGAACAUAGUUUCCAUAAGUUAACAUGUUACACAACUAGCAUGUAUUUAUGAUUUAAAUGAUGAGAAAUAUAAAAUGAAAAUGAUCUAUGAUGGUCAAGUGGUUAACUUAAAAGAAGCGAUAUCAAGAGUCUUCUCAUCAAACAUAUUUUGCCACUAUGAAUGUUUUAGAUGCUAAAAUAUAUCGUGAUCCACAUACUGUUUCUGAUAGAGUUUUAUUAUUAGAGAGAGUAGAUACUAGAUUGUUAAAUUUUAAUAAUGAUUGUGAAAAAUUAGACAAAAUUAAUAUGUCUAAAAUAAAAUAAGCAAAUCAAAGGUGGAGGCCACCAGAUGCGAUCAACCAUAUCUUCUUUCAUGUCACAUGCCGACGUCUCUCUAUGCGUUAAUAAUUAAGUGACAUUGACUUUGCAUUUGUACCAAUCUUAAAUCUUAUUUUUAUACACAUGGAUAUAGUUUUGAGCCGAAUAUAAAAUCAUAUCACAAUUUACUAGUCAAAUACUAAAUAUUCGUCGAAUAUGAUUUGGAAAUUACACAAUGGAUUUCUUUCAAAGGUCAAGUCAUAAAGUUGAAAAUUUUCAAAGUAAAAUGGUAUGUUCUUAUUAUAUAUUUGUGUAGAACAAGUCAAAUAAUUACUUUUGUUUUGCUUAUUACAAGGAUUCUACUUUUGUGAUAAUAAAUAGUCUUGAUAAUGUUUUUAUCGUCGUUAAUCUGAUAAAGACAUACAUAUUCCAACAAAUUAUUAUUAGUAUUAUUUUUCUUCUCUUUGCCAGUUCUUUUUACGUCAUAGACAAAUCUUAACUGAUCUAUUAUUUUCACUGGUAAGUGUAUGUGUUGGUUUAGAAUUUUUUAAUUUUUACUUGCUAAAUAUGUAUGUAUCGUCUAAUUUACAUCCACUUGAUAUUUUCACUCACCCCACUAACUCGUGUCGUGGUCUUCUUCUUCAAACUUGUAGGGUCAAAAGUUGUCAUGAUAAAUUUAUAUAUAUGAAUGUUUUGAAGAAGAGGAGGGGUCCUCUAUCAUCAAAGAGACAUGGAUGGUUGUGCUGAAGUUUAAAGAGACAAGAUCUCAAUCGAAGAUCUAUCCGACUAUACAUAUAUCUUUAGGGUUAUUGAGAUUCAAAGCAUGUCUACCCGACACAUCGUGCAUUACAAUUUCAUGAUCACUCCAUUCAUCAAAUCGUUUUUAGUCAACACCAUGAUCUUUUUGACUCUUGCGUCUCGACUCUUUGAUUACUAGAUUGGGUGCACAUAUAUAUAUAAUUUAAUUUUUGUUUCGUCUGGUUGAUCUUCAAGGUAAAAAUACGAUAUGCAAGACUAUAAAAUCAAGUGGGAGUUUAUUUUUCUUGAUAACUAGUUAGAAAGAGAUUGUUUUGGCCGUGCAAUUCAUAUUCCAAAUAUGUCAACAAGUUGUGUUGGUCCGUGGCAAGUAUUAGACUAGAAUAAACUAAAAUGAUUCCAUUCAUUCAAAUAAAGAAAUUGAAAAUUUGUUGAUGUUGACAUUCGAUUCAGCCACCCUUCAUAAAAGUGGUGGUAUGAGUAAAAAUUUAUCUUAGGUAAUCAAAACGGCAUGAUUUAUCACACACAUAUAGUUGUAUGAGUAAAAAAUUUCUAUAAUAGUUUAAGAGAUUGAACAAUUAGUAUGAAGCGACCAAAUUUUUAUUUUUGAAAUCAGUAGGAAUGGUCUUUGCCAACAGUCUGUUAACAAACAAAAUAAAAAGUUUAUUAAAAAGUAAUCAGGGAAGAUUGGAAAGGCCAAAAAGGGGGGAAAUGUUGAAAUGAGAAGGACAAUAUGGAACCCACUAGAGCAAUAAGAGGGAAAGAUAAUUUGGAGGGACCUUUCAUGUGUGUCUACCAUACUUAAGAUACGUGUCGUGCAAAAAAGAUGAUGAUGAUUGAUAAAUGGUGAUGAUGGGCAUGACUAUGGGAGGCAAAUCUUUGGCAGAGAAUCAAGUGAACAUACCAUGUCUUUGCCACUACCGCAUAACCCCAAGUGCUAACAGUUUCCUAUUCUUCUGCCAACGAAUCUUACUGCCAAGUAUACGUUAGUUGAAUCUGUUAUAAUCCCAUUGAAAUUUGGAAGUGUAUGUGUAUAAGUUAUAGACAACAAAAAAACACUCAAACACAAGUUAUUAUUAUUCUUUGCCAGCCUUCUAAAACAACUAAACUAUCUGUGGGCGGUAAAAUAACAAUGCAUGUGGUUGUGGUAGUAUACACAUUAAUCAAAUCCCUCAUCUUCUUAUCUUUAAUCCUUUAAAAUCUUCAUAUAGAUUUCUUUCCAUUAUUUUAAUCCAUUAACCAAAGUUUCUUUAUUUCCUUCCUCGUUGUCUACUUAUCAGAACAUUACUUUAAUCCCUCAAAACUUGCUUAGUCCGUAACUCAAAGCUAGAUCCAAACUUUAGUUUUAUUCUCUAUCUCUCUCCCUCUCUUUCUCUCCAUCUUUUAUUUCCCGUCCAUUUCUAAGCUCAUUCAAAACAAAAAAAAAUAUAAAAGUUAGAAACUUAGCACAAUGGGUAUGGUAAGAGAGUCACAGUUCCAUGUUUUGGCUGUUGAUGAUAGUCAAUUGGAUCGGAAAAUGAUAGAGAGAUUGCUGCAAAAGUCUUCAUGUCAAGGUAAAACAGAACAAAAACCAAAAUCUUUCAGUUAUGUUCUUGGAGAAACAUAGACAAGAUUCUAAAAAACGCUUUUUUUUUGUCGUAUGUUUGCAGUAACUACAGUUGAUUCCGGCUCCAAAGCUCUAGAGUUUCUAGGUUUGAGAGAAAGUAACGACCCAAAUUCACUCGAAACUCAUCAGGUUCUGUUCUUUUUCAUCGUUCAUUUGGUUUUGUUCAAAAUUUACAAUCAUCUUCUUGUUUUUUUGAAUGUUUUGUUGGUUUUUGGGUUUAAGCAGGAAGUUGAAAUAAAUCUCAUAAUCACAGACUAUUGUAUGCCUGGCAUGACUGGUUAUGAUCUGCUCAAGAAAGUUAAAGAAUCAGCAGCGUUUAGAAGCAUUCCUGUAGUAAUAAUGUCAUCAGAGAACGUUCCUGCUAGAAUCUCCAGGUAAAACCUCUGUUUCUUUUGAUUUGUGAAUAGGCAUUAGUAUUACUUGCGAGACAAGACUUCAACUUUAGACCUAAAAAAAGAAACAUUAGCUGUGUAGUUUUCUUGCAAUGGAUCUGGUUUAAAUGUCCUGAAAAUGUGAACUACAGAUGUCUGGAAGAAGGAGCUGAAGAGUUUUUUUUGAAGCCAGUAAAGUUGGCUGAUGUUACCAAGUUGAAACCUCAUAUGAUGAAAACCAAGUUGAAGAAAGAAGGUGAGAAGGUAGGUGAAGAAGAGAAUGCAACUUCGAAACCAGAAGAAUCAUUGGUGGUUGAAAUGAUCUUGCCUCUGAAUCAAGAACUUGAGUUGGAACAACAAGAACCAAUGUUAAGUAGUAAUAAGAGAAAAGCAAUGGAAGAAGUGAUAUCUGCUGACCGAUCACGUCCUAAAUACAAUGACAUCACAACCUCGGUCUGACCCGUUCGGUGUCCUCAAUGCUUCAGAGUUUCUUUUCAUAGGAAUGCUUCUUCUGGUAAAUACAGAGAGAAUGA